UACAGAGGUCUCAAGCGUUGUUCGGAUUCAUUGGGCGUAAAGGGUGCGUAGGCGGCGCGGUAAGUCAGGUGUGAAAUCUUGGAGCUUAACUCCGAAACUGCAUUCGAUACUGCCGUGCUUGAGGACUGGAGAGGAGACUGGAAUUUACGGUGUAGCGGUGAAAUGCGUAGAUAUCUGGAGGAACACCGGUGGCGAAGGCGGCAUCCUGGACCAAUACUGACACUGAGGAGCGAAAGCCAGGGGAGCAAACGGG
RNAcentral lists this ribosomal RNA (253 nucleotides) under uncultured bacterium. Its description in RNAcentral is "partial 16S ribosomal RNA". It matches the Rfam family "Bacterial small subunit ribosomal RNA", at positions 524 to 776 of the family's 1533-position model. The record is from RNAcentral.